This 297-nucleotide unclassified non-coding RNA is filed under the name Hevea brasiliensis (rubber tree). The record is from RNAcentral. Lineage: Eukaryota; Viridiplantae; Streptophyta; Magnoliopsida; Malpighiales; Euphorbiaceae.
GAAAAUGUUAGAGCUGAGUGUGCUCUAUGGUAGAGCUGAAAGUGAGUUUGAGAGAUAUAAAAAAAUGAGGAAGAAAGAAAGAAAAAAAUUUCAGUACUUGUUUUUGUAUUCCUUUGUUAUAUUAAUAAAAUUUUUGUUUUUUCACUCCAUCUCUAGUAUUCCUUUUGUUUCUUAAUGUGAAUCUUUUGGUUUUAUAUACAGUUCUUUCUUCCUUUAUUUUUCAGCUCCAUUUUCUGCAUACUGCAGAAUUUAUAUUUUCAUUUCUUGUUCUUAAAUACAUGUUUUAAGCCUCUAUCA